This 56-nucleotide transfer RNA is filed under the name Aspiculuris sp. PC-2022. Its description in RNAcentral is "tRNA-Cys". The record is from RNAcentral. Lineage: Eukaryota; Metazoa; Nematoda; Chromadorea; Rhabditida; Heteroxynematidae.
GAGCUUGUAGUAUAGUUGAGUAUGGUAAAUUGCAAAUUUAUUGGUUUGGAGGUUCU